CACCGAAGCUGCGGCAGCGACGCUGAUGCGUUGUUGGGUAGGGGAGCGUUCUGUAAGCCUGCGAAGGUGACCUGUGAGGGUUGCUGGAGGUAUCAGAAGUGCGAAUGCUGACAUAAGUAACGAUAAAGCGGGUGAAAAGCCCGCUCGCCGGAAGACCAAGGGUUCCUGUCCAACGUUAAUCGGGGCAGGGUGAGUCGACCCCUAAGGCGAGGCCGAAAGGCGUAGUCGAUGGGAAACGGGUUAAUAUUCCCGUACUUGGUGUUACUGCGAAGGGGGGACGGAGAAGGCUAUGUUGGCCGGGCGACGGUUGUCCCGGUUUAAGCGUGUAGGUGUGUGUUCCAGGUAAAUCCGGUUCACUUUAACACUGAGGCGUGAUGACGAGGCACUACGGUGCUG
This 396-nucleotide ribosomal RNA is filed under the name Salmonella enterica. RNAcentral describes it as "bacterial LSU rRNA". It matches the Rfam family "Bacterial large subunit ribosomal RNA", at positions 1192 to 1587 of the family's 2925-position model. Lineage: Bacteria; Pseudomonadati; Pseudomonadota; Gammaproteobacteria; Enterobacterales; Enterobacteriaceae. The record is from RNAcentral.